ACGUAGGGUGCGAGCGUUAUCCGGAAUUAUUGCGCGUAAAGAGCUCGUAGGAGGUUUGUCGCGUCUGUCGUGAAAGUCCGGGGCUUAACCCCGGAUCUGCGGUGGGUACGGGCAGACUAGAGUGCAGUGGGGGAGACUGGAAUUCCUGGUGUAGCGGUGGAAUGCGCAGAUAUCAGGAGGAACACCGAUGGCGAUGGCAGGUCUCUGGGCUGUAACUGACGCUGAGGAGCGAAAGCAUGGGGAGCGAACAG
This 251-nucleotide ribosomal RNA is filed under the name uncultured prokaryote. RNAcentral's name for it is "partial 16S rRNA". It matches the Rfam family "Bacterial small subunit ribosomal RNA", at positions 525 to 775 of the family's 1533-position model. The record is from RNAcentral.